ACACCCCUAUCAGAUAUAUUCCAUUUAUGAUUCGAUAUUGUCUCCAACUUGAACCUAGGUUGUCUAGAAUCACAAAUUAAACAGUUUUGAAAAUACGCCAGUGUCCAGCUCAAUUUGAAGUUGAUACGCACCAAAAUGACAAAGCUCACCAUUUAAAUGGUUUUUGCAGAUUUGUUGACUUUAUAGAGCAUUUGUGGAAGUGUGACAAGUUGCUUCCCCGUUCCACCUUGAAGUGGCAGGGCAGGAAUUUUGUUCUAGAAUGGCAAGGCGAUUUCUCAUUUGCAAAGGGCGCUUGUAUUAGAAAUUCAUCUUGUCUAUGGGGGACAUUUCAAUGGGCAUUGAGGCAAAGACCAGGGGCGCCAAGGCCUCCGAUGCCUCCGUGAAGGUCCUUCCUGGCAGUGGGAUCGCAUUUUUAUGCGGCAGUGUCAGGUCAGCAUAACCUUUUCUUACAAAACUUCAAAAGUACCCGCAUUCAUUCACCAGGAUGUGCCGAGGCAUUGUUGCGAUAAACUGUCUCGCCCCAGAGCACAAACACCCUCAGGCUCCAUCUGUGCGUAAAUCCCCUUUCCACCGCAUGAGGCAAACAUGGUUCCACCAGGGCGAUGACAGAAGCACUCGGUUGUCUCAGUCUAGGCGACAGGCUUCAGUGUGUGUGUCUAUUGUGUUUCGCUUACAGGAAAAUCCGCAUGCUGAUGCCAUUCUGAGAAAACUGGUUGAGCGAAGGGCUCUGCAAGGCAGUUUGUACACAUCUGCCGGCUUAUGUGAAAACAAACGUACAUUAAAUGGCGGGCAACGGGAAAGUUCAUGUCGUUCGUGACGUCAGUUUGGUACGUUUAAUAAGCUCUUUUGCACAUCUCAUUAGAGAUUAUCAUUUUUUGUUGUAGUUUUUUUGGUUAUACUUUUAUAUGAAUUUUCCCCCAUUUACAGGGUGUUUAAAAAGGUAAUCCAACUUUAAGGGAUUAAUAUAGCUAUAUGGCAUCUCACACAGCAUUUUGAGGGCCACAGCCAGAAAACUCAAGAUAAGAGCUUUCAAAUGACGCCUUUCUUGUCUGAUCAUGUUAUUGCUUAAGGGCAUACCAAUGGAUUGAAAUCAUGGCACCAAAACUGCACUGGUUCACUUAUUGAGCCUCGUUGCAUUUCACUUGACCAACUGUCAUACCUUGAUUGUGAAUAAUAUCUUGCCUGGUUAUGCAAUGGGGUUUAUUCAAAAGGCCUGGUGUGUCCAUUCUGGCCGUCAAACAAGCUUGGUAUCACAAUGGGCAGCUAACCACUCAGCAGAGAAUUUUUAUGGUAAAAGACAUUUCAAGAAACUAAAAGUGUGCAAGCCACACGGGAUGCUUUUCGAGAAGCAUUCAGAGACAGAAACACCAGCAAAGAAAACAAUCCGAGCCAAUGUUAACAAGUGUGAAAUACAUGGAACCAGCUUGAACAGGACCAAUUUGUGUUGAUUUUUUUUUACAUGAAAGUGAGCCAACCAUAUUUUUGCACCCUUUAGAAAUUCCAGGUGAUGGUGCUCAAUCAUGCAUGGCCCUGGACCUUUGUGUCAUUUGAACACUCAUAAUCUCUACUUUAAAGUGAUACCAUGAUCCUUGUUGAAGGGCAUUUAGUAUUGUCGUAUUAACCCCUUAAGAGUUGGAUUACCUUUUUUUUUUUUGAGGUGGCUUUUCAGAGGAGGCGCUACCCUUUGUCGUCUUUAGAAUUUCGUUAAGCACGCACUUGGCAAUAAAAAAAAAAACAGUUUGAAGGAUUCUGGUGUGUGGGUGUUGUCACGGUUAAGAUCUGCCGGCUUGUGUGAAAACAAAGGUACAUUAAAUGGCGGGCAACGGGAAAGUUC
Molecule: long non-coding RNA, 1834 nt
Organism: Acanthaster planci (crown-of-thorns starfish)
Lineage: Eukaryota; Metazoa; Echinodermata; Asteroidea; Valvatida; Acanthasteridae
Source: RefSeq, a predicted model, not a curated record